RNAcentral lists this unclassified non-coding RNA (346 nucleotides) under soil metagenome. RNAcentral describes it as "partial contains 5.8S ribosomal RNA, internal transcribed spacer 2, and large subunit ribosomal RNA". The stretch from base 1 to 121 matches the Rfam family "5.8S ribosomal RNA", at positions 35 to 154 of the family's 154-position model. The record is from RNAcentral.
GAUGAAGAACGUAGCGAAAUGCGAUAAGUAAUGCGAAUUGCAGAAUUUCCGUGAGUCAUCGAAUCUUUGAACGCACAUUGCGCCCACUGGUAUUCCGGUGGGCAUGGCUGUUCGAGCGUCAUUAUCCUCCCUCAAACCCCGGGUUUGGUGUUGGACCGAAGUUGUGUGAACAACUGGUCUAAAAAACAAUGACGGCGUCCGUGGGACCCUCGGUGCAACGAGCUUUUAGGAGCACGCGCCGAGUUGCAAGGACCUUCCGGGCCGGUCUCCUUUUACUAUUUUACAAGGUUGACCUCGGAUCAGGUAGGAAUACCCGCUGAACUUAAGCAUAUCAAUAAGCGGAGGA